ACACAACUUUCAACAACGGAUCUCUUGGUUCUGGCAUCGAUGAAGAACGCAGCGAAAUGCGAAAAGUAGUGUGAAUUGCAGAAUUCAGUGAACCAUCGAGUCUUUGAACGCACAUUGCGCCCGAGGCCACUCGGCCGAGGGCAUGCCUGUUCGAGCGUCAUUU
This 163-nucleotide ribosomal RNA is filed under the name Elaeis oleifera (American oil palm). Its description in RNAcentral is "5.8S ribosomal RNA". It matches the Rfam family "5.8S ribosomal RNA". Rfam says of the family: 5.8S ribosomal RNA (5.8S rRNA) is a component of the large subunit of the eukaryotic ribosome. It is transcribed by RNA polymerase I as part of the 45S precursor that also contains 18S and 28S rRNA. Functionally, it is thought that 5.8S rRNA may be involved in ribosome translocation. The record is from RNAcentral. Lineage: Eukaryota; Viridiplantae; Streptophyta; Magnoliopsida; Arecales; Arecaceae.